RNAcentral lists this ribosomal RNA (119 nucleotides) under Pteropus alecto (black flying fox). The record is from RNAcentral. Lineage: Eukaryota; Metazoa; Chordata; Mammalia; Chiroptera; Pteropodidae.
AACUACAGCCAUGCCACCCUGAACAAGCCUGAUCCCGUCUGAUCUUGGAAGCUAAGCAAGGUCAGGCCUGGUUAGUACUGGGAUGGGAGACCAGGUAGGAAGACCAGGUGCUAUAGGCG